RNAcentral lists this ribosomal RNA (429 nucleotides) under Chloroflexota bacterium. RNAcentral describes it as "Chloroflexi bacterium partial 16S ribosomal RNA". It matches the Rfam family "Bacterial small subunit ribosomal RNA", at positions 355 to 776 of the family's 1533-position model. The record is from RNAcentral. Lineage: Bacteria; Bacillati; Chloroflexota.
UGGGGAAUAUUUCACAAUUGGCGCAAGCCUUAUGCAGCCAUGCCGCGUGUAUGAAGAAGGCCCUUGGGUUGUAAAGUACUUUCAGUCGGGAGGAAGGUGGUAAGGUUAAUAACCUUAUCAAUUGACGUUACCGACAGAAGAAGCACCGGCUAACCCCGUGCCAGCAGCCGCGGUAAUACGGAGGGUGCAAGCGUUAAUCGGAAUUACUGGGCGUAAAGCGCACGCAGGCGGUUGAUUGAGUCAGAUGUGAAAUCCCCGGGCUUAACCCGGGAAUUGCAUCUGAUACUGGUCAGCUAGAGUCUUGUAGAGGGGGGUAGAAUUCCAUGUGUAGCGGUGAAAUGCGUAGAGAUGUGGAGGAAUACCGGUGGCGAAGGCGGCCCCCUGGACAAAGACUGACGCUCAGGUGCGAAAGCGGGGGGAGCAAACAGG